UCUUGCCAGUAGUAGUCAAAUACCAUCCAAACAAAUCCAAUAUCAACAUUGGCCGAGGACUCGCUGCUUUUAUCGAUCUUUUUGAUACUUCCGUGCGCUCGGUAAUGAACUAUCGUCUACCGUGUCAUGGUGCAGCAUCCGUGAGACACCGAGGACCUGGGAAGAAGCACCACCCAGGAACCGUUCUGAUGUUUACAUUUCGUCGCCCAAGCUCCGGCAUAAAUCAAAGGGCUCUGCAUACGAGUAACUACUAGCAGCUGCCAGGCCUCUGAUUGGAUUCCUCCACUGCUACGGUGAAUGGUAGAACUUCCUUAUUUUUUCAACACCCCACUUCCAGGCUCCGCAGCUACAUAAAUAAACGUGCUGGGCAACGAACGUGCGACAAAAUAAAUAUUAACAGUUCAUCUUCGCCAUCAGCGCAUUUCCACCCGGAAGCGAACCGGGAUGGAACCGAUUUCCGGCACCGAUCGGUUACUGGCAGCUGCUGGCUUUUCGGUCCUUUCUUCGCAUUUCUCAACAAGCGCCAGCCGAACGAGUUUAUGUUCGGUAGAAUAAACGAACGGAAGAUGCGCCAAGACCAUCAAAUCCAAGCUAUUCCCAAUCUGAUUUGACGUAUUCGGUAACACCUCAACCGAGCGAUGCUUACAAACGCCCUUCACUUGCCAUUCCUUGCAUCGAUGCGAGAAGAAUCAAGAUUUCGUCUUGAUCCAAUUGCAGGCAAUGAUGUGAUCUUGUUCGAAUAUUCAAUUCAGGACGCAACGUCCAUGGGCACAUGGUUCUUCCAGGUGCGUAAUGUUGCUUCUAACGGGCGGACGGUUUGGCAGGUUCAACCUACAAAAAGGAUAUCCCUGCAGGGCUUCAGAAACCCAAAUACACCUACAACAGCGCUCGCUGCCAGUUACCUCAUCGGGUCGAGAAAUUAAAUUGCUAAUUUUAGGUCCGAAAAUGCCCUCCAGGGAGCAACAGAGCGAGAUAAUACCUAGCAAACCGGUACCAGCGAUGAUAAAGAAGCAGCCACUCCCGCCACAACCCACUUUCUUCCGGCCGUGGUCAUGGUCGUUCGAUGUGCAGGAUAUGGCACUGAAAUGUUAAGAAAAACACACACAAACGUUCCGGCAUUGCAGAGACAAAACGAAAGACCUUUAAAUCUACCGCCAUCGUCGUGAAGCCCCAUCGCAUCGAAAUCGAAAGCAAAACUGCAAAGAAACGUCCCGAACGACCCGAAGAAUCUAACAGACGCAAGCAAGAGGCAGAGGUGAUGUAGAAGAGGCGUACGGGCAGAAGGCAGCAAAGGCAAAGCAAAAAGAACCCCGACUGAAAGCCAAAAGGAACCUGCCCUGCACGCGUGGAAAAAGCAUACAGCCGAGCCCAAUAUGGAAAUCGAAUUCAAUUAAAAGCGCUCCUGCAUAAUUCAGUUUCAAACAUUGCUGCUGCCAUCAUCUUAGGGGCCGCGCCGCCGCCGUCAACAACCCACAAAAGAGUAUUGGCUGACCUUACUCGCUUGGAGAAGACAAAAAUGCC
Molecule: long non-coding RNA, 1521 nt
Organism: Anopheles arabiensis
Lineage: Eukaryota; Metazoa; Arthropoda; Insecta; Diptera; Culicidae
Exons: 3
Source: RefSeq, a predicted model, not a curated record